CAAAGAGGCCGGAACUUGGAAAGCACGCGAGAUGAUACGAGAGUCGGCUUUGCGCGAGAGUUCCCGGAUACCGCAAGAUUAGCCAAAGGGCGCGGGAAAUCACAGCGGCCUCUAGUGGACGAGCCUCUCUCGAUGUUUCAGUGUGAGCAUGAAUGAUGAUGGUCUUUUCAUGCCCCUCGGUGCUCCAUCUGCCGCCAUUACUCUCCAGACACAGAAAAGGACUAGUAAAUAAUUCUGUCAUUUUGUUGUUGUGGCUGUAUGUGUAAUUUCAAACUACUAUAAUUCUGCCUUAUUGAUAAUUUCCUGUUUUUCAUGCAUGGCUAGGUUUUAUUGCUUUAUUUUGGUCUCACAGAACACUCUUCUGUAAUUGCACUUUUAAAAAAUGAAUUGAAAAAAAUUGUGACGUGGACACUCCAGGGACGACAGAUUGGGAGGAGACAACAGCCACCUAUGUGAUGAGGAAUGAAGCUCAUGAUUUAACUAGAAAUGGCCCAAGGCACGUCCUGUGUGAAGGGUUGAAUAAAUUUUCCAUCUUCUUUCAAGACGGAAUACUAUGAAACGUGACGGGGAAACAUCCUUGUGUGAUGAGGCCCUACAAGGAAAUGGCUACAUUGACUACUCACCACGCAAGUACAGUUCAGUCCUGAAGGUAUCUGCUAUGUCCUCAUAAUUCAAUAGGACAUAUUUCCUGAUGAAUAUGUAUAUGAUCAUAGCAUUGAAGAAGUGAAAGCUUAAGGAAAAACUAGAAACAUACUGAAGAAAAUUAUUUUUCUGUCUGUUGUUCACCCCAAUGACGUAAGUAAUCAUUUUGAUUUUUUUUAAAAAGGUGAUCUUAUGGUAUGAACAUAAAGAUGAACAUGUUUUAUUUGGCAUAAGCCUUUGGGAGCAACAGUUCACUUUUGAUGUAUUUCCUGGAAUAUAUCAAUGAAUUCCAAAGAAAACAUAUUUUUAAAAGCUGCCACAAAAGUUCUAUUGUAGAGCCAAGUAUCUGGUUCCAUGUGAGCCUUUGACCAUGUUUUUUUUAAAAAUGUCAUUAUCAGAUGAAAAGAGUAAGACCCCCUCCUUUCUUUCACUUAUGUUCAAAGAACACUCACAGUCUAAGCCUGGGAGUUUAGAAAUGCAUUGUAAGGACUCUACAUGAGUAUUCACAGACUCUGUCUAUGUAAACUCCAGGUGCAUCUACACUGCAGAAUUAAUGCAGUUUGACACCAUAUUAAUAACCAUAGCUCAAUGUUAUAGAAUCCUGGGAAUUGUAGUUUGGUGAGACACCAGAACUCUUUGACAGAGAAGGCUUAAGGUCUUGUGAAGAUACAAUUCCCAUGAUUCCAUUACACUGAGCCAUGGCAGUUAAAGUGACUUCCAACUAUUGAUUUUACAAUGUAGUGCACCCUGAAAUUCUGGUCCAAUAAGUAUUCUAUCCCUCUAAGGUGGAUAGAUUUGAAUCCAUAAAUGCUGUAUUUACUUCUUUGAGAUAAUGAAAAUAAAUGUUUUCAGAAUUUUCCCUAUAACAUUCUGAAAUGCUGCUUUUGAACAGUCACCAGAACUGUUUCUGCUGCUGAUAAUUUACAUAUUUGACACAUGCAGUGAUGUUUUGAUUCAAAUUAUAUAAUUCCCAAUUAAUAAAGGUUCCAUUUGGGUUCACUAAUACGUAUCUGCCAUUUAGUCUGAUGCCAAAUACCCAUUCUGAAGAAAGUCCCAUUAUAGAGUGUGGGGCUUACCAUUCAGUAAAUGUGGAAAGUUUUGCUAACUCAGAUACCAUGCUGUGAAACUUGAACUUUCAAAGUGUUGCUUGGAAAAUAGCAUAAACUUAAAAAUGGACAACAACAUUUAAUUAAGAGCUCAACCACAAAUCUCCAUGGACACAGGAUAAACACAGGGAGUGGGAAUUAUCAUUUUCUAUCUGUAACUUUCAGUCUUGCUCUGACCCAGAUUCCAGUACUGAUUUGGACACAGCCACCAAAAUUGAAAUACCUGUGGUGUCAGCAGGAAAGGCAUUAAAUUAGUACCAAUGGAGAACCAGCAACCCCAGAGACCAAGGUGUCAGAAAACCAUUGGGCCAGAGAUUUAGAAACUGGAAAACCUUGAACCUAAGGGCACAUCUACACUGACCGCUUAAUGUGGAUUGAACUCCUCUCAGAAAUGUGGUGUUCAAAUUAUUAUUAUUACAUUGUAACCUUAAAAAAUAAAAAUAGUUUUAAAAAGGAAUAUUCACCCCCACAUCACACCCACUAACUGAGUGUUAUUAUAAUGAAGUGGAAUGAAACAUCCACACUCAAACUGGGUACUGAAUAAUUUCUGGAAAAGGGGUCAUUAGCAAAUUAUUGUGAGUGUGACAUAAAAAUCACAUUCCCUAUGACUGUAUCACAAAAUAGCACUGGAAGAACAAUGAUGUUGUGUAAUAAGGCUGAGACAAAAGUGGGAAUUACUGUUAUGAAGGUAUAAUGGUAUGGAAUGAUGACCUAAAUUUUACAGUGCUUCCAAGAUAAUAGAAAUUCUCUUGUAAAAAUAACAAUGCUAGACAUGCCUGGGUUCAACUGCUGCAGUGUAUGCCUUCACUACCUUUAAAACAAAAAUCCAUCUUGCCACUUUUUAGCACCUUCCAUUUCCAGUGUCUGCUUCACAAGCCAGCUGCCUUUAGUGAUCAGACCUGGCAAAGGAAGCAUUUAUUUAGCUCUAAGAAAUCCGCAGAAGAUGAUAGAAUGGAAGCUGACACUGCUGUCUAAAAAAGUAAUCUGUAUUAGCUGACUAUUGAACUGUGAAGCUUGGAGGAUGGGUAGUAAAAGCACCUGAAAUAUCCA
Long non-coding RNA from Anolis carolinensis (green anole), 2798 nucleotides. RefSeq lists it as uncharacterized. NCBI's taxonomy places the organism in Eukaryota, Metazoa, Chordata, Lepidosauria, Squamata, Anolidae. The transcript is spliced from 2 exons. The record is from RefSeq and is a predicted model, not a curated record.